This is a non-coding RNA of Gymnopus androsaceus JB14, 102 nucleotides long. The record is from the annotation of a GenBank genome assembly. NCBI's taxonomy places the organism in Eukaryota, Fungi, Basidiomycota, Agaricomycetes, Agaricales, Omphalotaceae.
GGGCACAUGGUGUAGUUGGCUAUCAUCCACUUAGCAUCGCGAGUAUAUGCUGGACGUAUAGUGUUAUGCGUGGGGUGCUGGGUUUAAUUCCCAGUGUGUCCA